CGUCUCUCCAAAUCAGACCAGGUCUUCCCCAGAAAGUCUGCCAAUGAUCUACAAAGCCCACAUUGUUUGCUUUAAUAUCUGAAGGCACAUAUUAAAAAUCUUAUAUCCACGCAUUCGGGGGAUCAAGCUGAAUCUCAUGGAAGUCCCACCGGCACCAAACUUGGCACGAACCAUCUGUGGACCAUCUCUGAUAAAAGUGAAUUAAAAAAUGUGUGAAGAAGCAACUGAAUAUGGGCAUUGGUGGUUCAGAUCCUGAGCUCAUGUUACUGGGCUUUUCCCAAGCACGAGGAACUGCUGGGCACUGAACUAAUUAAGUUCAAAAAGACAGUCAACGCAUUUAAAUA
This is a long non-coding RNA of Micropterus dolomieu (smallmouth bass), 344 nucleotides long. RefSeq lists it as uncharacterized. Lineage: Eukaryota; Metazoa; Chordata; Actinopteri; Centrarchiformes; Centrarchidae. The transcript has 3 exons. The record is from RefSeq and is a predicted model, not a curated record.